GGCCAGCAGCCGCGGUAAUACGGAGGGUGCGAGCGUUGUCCGGAAUCACUGGGCGUAAAGGGCGCGUAGGCGGCGCGGAUAGUCGGCGGUGAAAGCCCGGAGCUCAACUCCGGGUCGGCCGUCGAUACUUCCGGGCUUGAGCACUGUAGAGGCAGAUGGAAUUCCGGGUGUAGCGGUGGAAUGCGUAGAGAUCCGGAAGAACACCGGUGGCGAAGGCGGUCUGCUGGGCAGUUGCUGACGCUGAUGCGCGACAGCGUGGGGAGCAAACAGGAUUAGAUACCCUGGUAGUCCACGCCGUAAACGAUGGGCACUAGGUGCUUGGGGGAGCGACCCUCUGAGUGCCGGCGCUAACGCAUUAAGUGCCCCGCCUGGGGAGUACGGCCGCAAGGCUGAAACUCAAAGGAAUUGACGGGGGCCCGCACAAGC
RNAcentral lists this ribosomal RNA (426 nucleotides) under uncultured bacterium. RNAcentral describes it as "bacterial SSU rRNA". It matches the Rfam family "Bacterial small subunit ribosomal RNA", at positions 506 to 930 of the family's 1533-position model. The record is from RNAcentral.